Carassius auratus (goldfish) is the source of this 120-nucleotide ribosomal RNA. NCBI's taxonomy places the organism in Eukaryota, Metazoa, Chordata, Actinopteri, Cypriniformes, Cyprinidae. The record is from Ensembl.
GCUUACGGCCAUACCAACCUGGCUAUGGCCCGAUCUCGUCUGAUCUCGGAAGCUAAGCAGGUUUGGGCCUGGUUAGUACUUGGAUGGGAGACCGCCUGGGAAUACCAGGUGCUGUAAGCU